RNAcentral lists this ribosomal RNA (573 nucleotides) under uncultured bacterium. RNAcentral's name for it is "partial 16S ribosomal RNA". It matches the Rfam family "Bacterial small subunit ribosomal RNA", at positions 355 to 919 of the family's 1533-position model. The record is from RNAcentral.
UGGGGAAUUUUGGACAAUGGGCGAAAGCCUGAUCCAGCAAUGCCGCGUGUGUGAAGAAGGCCUUCGGGUUGUAAAGCACUUUUGUCCGGAAAGAAAUCCUUGGCUCUAAUACAGUCGGGGGAUGACGGUACCGGAAGAAUAAGCACCGGCUAACUACGUGCCAGCAGCCGCGGUAAUACGUAGGGUGCAAGCGUUAAUCGGAAUUACUGGGCGUAAAGCGUGCGCAGGCGGUUUGCUAAGACCGAUGUGAAAUCCCCGGGCUCAACCUGGGAACUGCAUUGGGUGACUGGGCAGGCUAGAGUAUGGCAGAGGGGGGUAGAAUUCCACGUGUAGCAGUGAAAUGCGUAGAGAUGUGGAGGAAUACCGAUGGCGAAGGCAGCCCCCUGGGCCAAUACUGACGCUCAUGCACGAAAGCGUGGGGAGCAAACAGGAUUAGAUACCCUGGUAGUCCACGCCCUAAACGAUGUCAACUAGUUGUUGGGGAUUCAUUUCCUUAGUAACGUAGCUAACGCGUGAAGUUGACCGCCUGGGGAGUACGGUCGCAAGAUUAAAACUCAAAGGAAUUGACGGGGU